UAGGGAAUCUUCGGCAAUGGACGAAAGUCUGACCGAGCAACGCCGCGUGAGUGAAGAAGGUUUUCGAAUCGUAAAACUCUGUUGGUAGAGAAGAACGUUGGUGAGAGUGGAAAGCUCAUCAAGUGACGGUAACUACCCAGAGAGGGACGGCUAACUACGUGCCAA
RNAcentral lists this ribosomal RNA (165 nucleotides) under uncultured bacterium. RNAcentral describes it as "partial 16S rRNA". It matches the Rfam family "Bacterial small subunit ribosomal RNA", at positions 355 to 511 of the family's 1533-position model. The record is from RNAcentral.